Sarcophilus harrisii (Tasmanian devil) is the source of this 2216-nucleotide long non-coding RNA. The record is from Ensembl. NCBI's taxonomy places the organism in Eukaryota, Metazoa, Chordata, Mammalia, Dasyuromorphia, Dasyuridae.
AAAAUUAUUGAUUGUGAUUCUCUUGAAAAUUAUUUGUUCAUAUCCUUAAACCACAUUUAUUUGGAAUAUCUGCAAUUCAUUAUCUUAAAAAAAUAGAGCAAGAUAUGGAAGAGUUUAAGCACAGAAUCUAAGAACGAGAGACAGAGCAUCAGAGAUCAUGUAAGUCUACUUACAUAUGGCCAAGAAUUCCUUGUGUUGUAUUCUCAAAAACUGCCAUAAGAAUAGCCUUUCUCGUAUCAACUCUGCUGGUAUCAUUCUGGAUUAGAGUUAUAUUUGGCUUGAUUUCUCCAUCAGUUUUAGCAUAACUCAUGAUUAAUGUGAAUAUGACAGCUAGUCUGAAAGCCCAAUUCUGGAAAGACUUUUCUGAAAAUAUAAUCAGAGACAGAGACAUUACCAUCUUUAUGGAUUUUAAUGGUGCAUGGGGACUCUAGGGAGAAGGAAAAAAGCAGGGGCCUUCAAAUCAAAGUUUCUGCCUGAAAUUCUAAAUCUUGGUGUUGGUGGAUAUCUAGAGAGCCCUUUUGCAUGAGCAACAGAGGAAUGUCUGGACUAGAUCAUAAAAAGGAGAAUUUUUCAGGUAGUUGGGCAUAUAUUUAUGGUACAACCCUCCUUCCCUUGUCUACUUGUCCCCAACAUGAAUCUUUUUUUAUUUGUUUGUUUUUUUUUGUUUAAAUUAUGCAUUCCCAUAGUCAGGUAAACUCAGUACCCUCAAGGAAAAUGAUUUCUCUGCACUGUCUUCCCUCUCCCAACUGCACUCUGUCCUAACUCUGUCAUUUCCCUUCCAUCAUGACCUGCUCUCUCUUUCCAGAAGGCCCAAUUUGAUCCUGAUUGGAGGUACCUGGCUAUGAGAUUGUGAAGUCAGAAGUUCCAAGGCAGAAGUGUGUAUUAAGGUGGGGGAAGGAAUAACAAAGAAAGUUCUGAAGCAGUUAGAAAGUUUUUCGGGUAUCUAAGAUAAUGUCUCACCCACAGGAUCCCUCAAAGACAAUGGACGUUGUGAAAGAAAAACCAGUGUUAAAACAGUGCCAUCGGACUCGGCCUGUGAUGUUAAGAAACUGGUCCAAAUGUACCCGUCGAGCCUGCCAUAACGCCUUUCAGUGGUUAAUCAUGCCCCUCUGCACUGUAUUCAGCACUUUUGCCUUCCUGGUAUUGAUUGUAUGUUGUUCUGCUACAAACAAAUGGGCAACAUUGAAAUCGAAGGACCAAACAUGGGAGCAGCACAUUGGCAUUUGGCACGACUGCUUAAGCACAAACUGCUGGACAGAUAUUCUUUUUUGGCCUCUUAUCCAGACUGCCCAGGGUUUCGUGAUCACAGCUGUCCUUUGUAGUUUCCUGUUAACCACGUGGUUGUUUGGUUUUUUCUGUACCUCUCCUUCACUGAAGAUGCAAUGCCAUCUUAUCUUCAUUAUCCUUUCCUCCUUGACAGGCAUUAGUCUCUUCAUUGCCAUAUUGCUGAUUGUGUUCAUUUUGGAAAAAACAACUGCGGUGCAAAACACUUACUACGUAGUCCUGUGGCCUUUUUAUUUGCUGUGGUUAGCACUAAUACUGUGCCUGAUUUCCUGUAUCCUGGGAAUCAUUUCUUAUAAGGGCCUAGGCCAGAAAAGAAGGAGAGCUACAACUAUAAAAGAAGAAAAAAUGCCUAAUGAACAAAUGUACUCAAAAGCAAGCAUAUUGUUAGCAAAAUCACUUAUUUCAAAAUCUAUAUCUCAAGGCAGAAACCCCAACUUAUCACAACUGUCCAUAUCUACCUUAGGGGAUAAUUGGACAUCCCAUAAGGGAAUUUAUGAUGCAUUUAAAGAUCUGUAAAUAUGUGAGAUCAAGUCCACUGAUGAGCAUUCUGUUCUUCCCAUAAAAAUGUGUAAAAUGUCUGUAUGUAAUUCUAUCAUGUAUGCCUAUCAAGUAACAACCUUGUUGAAAUGAGGGUUCAAGCCUAGAUUAUGUGAGCCAUUAGUCCUAUGGGACAAAUACAGUUUUUUCUCAAAAAUGUGUUUUGAAAUAAAAUCAGUUGACUACUCUCUCGGCAUCUAUUUUUAACUUACUGAUUCAUUGUUAAUGAGUUUUAUUAUUAUUCAAAGAACCAUCAGUGGAACCUCAACAGAAUUCCAGCACCCACAGAACUCAAAUAGAAAAUAACAGGACAGCACUUUGAAUGGUAAUUAAUCAAAUCAAGUAUCCCACCUCUGACACCAGGUGACUAUAGUUUUCUCAUCUGUAAAAUGGGA